CAGGUACCUUCUUCCAGCCCAACUGUGAGGAGGACAAGCAAAACAAGAGUGCCCUGUGCUCCCUCCUGGAGACCUGGUUGGUCAAAUACCCAGGAGACUUCUGCCAGUGCCCAGACCUGGCCAGCCUGAAGCAGCUCAUGGCCUAUGCGCUCAUCAACCUGCCUGACUCGGACCUUGUUCUGCAAGUGGACAGACUCCUGACCCAAUUAGAACCCCUCUGAGGAGGAGCCCGAGGACUAGCGUCCAACCUGCAAUCCGCUGCAGCAGGUGUCAAGAGAGACUCAGGAGCAAAAGGAGGGAGGGAGCCUGCAGCAGCUUUUCUGACACCUCGAGAUCUGGAGCCAGGAGCCAGGAGCCAGAACAGACAGCAGCAGCCAAGACUGACUCCUUGCACUUGGCAGCUCCUGGUCCAGCUGCAGUGCCUUCCCUCCCCUCACCUGGGAAAGUCAUCUUUUGUUUUUUUUCUGAUUUUCCUAUCCAUGUUUGGAUAGGAAAUUUUAUUUUAAUAAAUUUAAUAAAAUUCUAUUGUAAAAUA
Heterocephalus glaber (naked mole-rat) is the source of this 535-nucleotide non-coding RNA. NCBI's taxonomy places the organism in Eukaryota, Metazoa, Chordata, Mammalia, Rodentia, Bathyergidae. The record is from RefSeq and is a predicted model, not a curated record.